GGAUUAUCUUUCUCCACUCUAAAUAAUUAAAUAAUUUUGAGUUGAAUACUCGGAAAUGCGUAAUACUUCUAAUUAUUAAAUUUCCAUCUAUUAUAAUUUAUUUUGGUUAGUUUGGUUAUAACCGAUAGCUACCAAAUAUUUUCGGUUUUGAUUAGAUUUAGUUCUCUUAAUUUCAGUUCGAUCAUAUUUUAGAGUCUGUUAAAAUUUUCAAUUAGUCAAAAUUUUGAUUUAGUUCUGUUAAUUGAAUGCACGCCUGAUAAAUUACCCCUUGAACCUUGAACAUUUUGUUUAUGUGUAGGAUUUGCUUUAAAUUAUAGUCCAACAUCUUCAUGACAAAUUUUAUUCACAUCUUCAUUUAAAUUCCAAAUGGGCAUACAUAUCUAUGCUUGCUUUAGCUGUUAUCUGACUCUUUUUUAUCUAUUUUUUUCUAGGUGCCAACCAUGGACAAUAACACUCACUGGAGUAUCAGUGAUUGCUUGUAGUUGGCUGAUGUUGCACUCAGUUGUAAUUACGAGUAUUUUACUCCUGUUAAUAUGCUUCUGGUGGUACAUUUUUCUGUAUUCUUAUCCCAAGGUAUGAUCUCACUUGACAACUAAUGUUUGCUGAUUAACUUCUUUUUCUUCAAUAGUCAGUUAUUGAAGCUGGGAAUUACAAAUCAAUUAUUUUGUGUAUACUUGCCUUGCAUAUUUUUUGUCGUUAGGGUAAAUUUUGUAUGUGUUGGAACUCAGAACAGUUUAUUCAAGCAGUUAACAAUCGAAAUCUCUCUCCUUCCUUCCCACUCCUAUCUUCUGGAGUUCAAAUUUUGGAGACUCAAUAUGGCACAUGAUAAUAAAGUAUACUUCCCAAACCAAUGCAUUUUAUGUAAUACAUGAUAUUUGGCAGAAACAGUGCUUAAAAGGGCUUCAGAUGGCAUUUGUGAGAUGACACAAGGUAUUAAGUUGCAGAAUGAACAACAAUGAGAAGUGAAUUUGCAGGAAAUUUAUGGCAUGACUUUUCUUAAUGUCUAAAUUGUGGUGUUUGAAGCUUGGAACUUACUUUUACAUGCGUGCAAUAGUUGUUUUGUAACAGUGGAUACCGGUCCUUAAAUUGGUGUCCUAUAUCUCUGGAAGAGUUAGCGAACUAUGCAUUGUUUUAUGUUGGACUUGCUUAGAAGAGGAGAUUCACAUCUAUCAAGUUGGUUUACUUGACAAUUUCAACAUACGCCUCUUGUCUUACUUUGGUAUUGAUUUGAUGCCACUUCAAAAUAUAAAGAAGCAUUGCCUUUUGUAUUUUGAAGUUAGUAUAAUAUUCUGUUUGGUUUCUCUCGAGAAAUUCCUAUUUGAACGAGAGCUAUCUUUAUUUUUGUAUGUUUGAAAGUUGCAUUUUGGUAUUAGAUUAUCUUAUUUUCUUUACAGGCAUAUGCUGACAUGAUUGCUGAACGAAGAAAAAGAGUGAACAGCGGUGUUGAAGAUACAUAUGGCUGGAGGAAGAUCCAAUGAUUAGAAGUGAAAAAAUGAACUUGUCAAGUCCCCCUUCUCUCUAUCUUCUCUCUCAAUAUGUGUGAAAUUUUUGUAAUUUCGAUCUUGCAAAUAGCUGGAUUACAUAUAUCAUAAGCUCUAUUUGGUUAGCUAGAUUGUACCCUUUUCAUGUGUGUUUUGUAGUCGGUAGGUAUAUAUAUUUUUCUCAAUAGGGAUUUUAACAAAAAUUUAUGAGGGAGGAGGAGAGAAGG
This 1708-nucleotide unclassified non-coding RNA is filed under the name Hevea brasiliensis (rubber tree). The record is from RNAcentral. Lineage: Eukaryota; Viridiplantae; Streptophyta; Magnoliopsida; Malpighiales; Euphorbiaceae.